RNAcentral lists this ribosomal RNA (253 nucleotides) under uncultured bacterium. RNAcentral's name for it is "partial 16S ribosomal RNA". It matches the Rfam family "Bacterial small subunit ribosomal RNA", at positions 524 to 776 of the family's 1533-position model. The record is from RNAcentral.
UACGUAGGGUGCGAGCGUUACUCGGAAUUACUGGGCGUAAAGCGUGCGCAGGCGGUUUUGUAAGCCAGAUGUGAAAUCCCCGGGCUUAACCUGGGAAUGGCAUUUGGGACUGCAAGGCUUGAGUGUGGCAGAGGGGACUGGAAUUCCUGGUGUAGCAGUGAAAUGCGUAGAGAUCAGGAGGAAUACCGAUGGCGAAGGCAGGUCCCUGGGCUGACACUGACGCUCAUGCACGAAAGCGUGGGGAGCAAACAGG